Small nucleolar RNA from Pongo abelii (Sumatran orangutan), 135 nucleotides. NCBI's taxonomy places the organism in Eukaryota, Metazoa, Chordata, Mammalia, Primates, Hominidae. The record is from Ensembl.
UGUCCUUGACUCGGGUAGAGUGAUGUCUGAUUGGUGCUGCCUAUCUCGUAUAAGCCAGGGACAAAUCAAUGCCUUAUUUAUCCCGGCUUGGCUUUUGGUCUGUGCCCAUACCUGGUUUAUGCCUUGGACACACGG